RNAcentral lists this non-coding RNA (20 nucleotides) under Rattus norvegicus (Norway rat). The record is from RNAcentral. Lineage: Eukaryota; Metazoa; Chordata; Mammalia; Rodentia; Muridae.
UUGAAUGCUGAUGGAUGCUC